RNAcentral lists this ribosomal RNA (721 nucleotides) under uncultured bacterium. RNAcentral describes it as "bacterial SSU rRNA". It matches the Rfam family "Bacterial small subunit ribosomal RNA", at positions 28 to 740 of the family's 1533-position model. The record is from RNAcentral.
AUUGAACGGCGGCGGAAUGCUUUACACAUGCAAGUCGAACGGCAGCACGGAGAGCUUGCUCUCUGGUGGCGAGUGGCGAACGGGUGAGUAAUAUAUCGGAACGUGUCCAAUAAUGGGGGAUAACGAGUCGAAAGAUUCGCUAAUACCGCAUACGCCCUACGGGGGAAAGCAGGGGAUCGUAAGACCUUGCGUUAAUGGAGCGGCCGAUAUCUGAUUAGCUAGUUGGUGAGGUAAAGGCUCACCAAGGCGACGAUCAGUAGCUGGUUUGAGAGAACGACCAGCCACACUGGAACUGAGACACGGUCCAGACUCCUACGGGAGGCAGCAGUGGGGAAUUUUGGACAAUGGGGGCAACCCUGAUCCAGCCAUUCCGCGUGAGUGAAGAAGGCCUUCGGGUUGUAAAGCUCUUUCGCAAGGGAAGAAAACUUAUGAUCGAAUAAAUCAUGAGGUUGACGGUACCUUGAUAAGAAGCACCGGCUAACUACGUGCCAGCAGCCGCGGUAAUACGUAGGGUGCGAGCGUUAAUCGGAAUUACUGGGCGUAAAGCGUGCGCAGGCGGUUUUGUAAGUCGGAUGUGAAAUCCCCGGGCUCAACCUGGGAACUGCGUUCGAAACUGCAAGGCUAGAGUGUGUCAGAGGGGGGUAGAAUUCCACGUGUAGCAGUGAAAUGCGUAGAGAUGUGGAGGAAUACCAAUGGCGAAGGCAGCCCCCUGGGAUAACAC